Non-coding RNA from Petromyzon marinus (sea lamprey), 3417 nucleotides. The record is from RefSeq and is a predicted model, not a curated record. Lineage: Eukaryota; Metazoa; Chordata; Hyperoartia; Petromyzontiformes; Petromyzontidae.
GCAGGAGCUCUCCGACCCCCACCCCGCCGCGCAGCGCGGAUGUCCCGGCGCGCUCCGCACCGUCGCGGUACAUGAACAGGGUCACCCCCGUCACGAUGAGCAGCACGCACAGGUGCGUGACGUCAUUUAUGGACGGCCCCUAACGGCACAACGGCAGUGGGAUCGGUCUGAUGUUGCCUUGAUACGGGCACUGGAAUCGAGCGUGGCACCAUCUCUCCACGCCUUGGGGGGGGAGGGGGGGUCUGGAGGGGGCCAAGCCACCACAGCUGAAGGCUCGGCGCUUCUUGGAAGUCAAAGGAUGUUGGUACGACACGAAACACCAAUGGUCACGACCACAGUGUGGCCUUGUCUCGCGCUGGCCGCGACACGAGCGGCGGUCGCAGAGACGUGCCUUUAGGAAUUCACCCUGAGCCUCCGUCGUGCGCAUCAGAGUGAGUCAACACUGGUCGAGAGCGGACAGGCGUGACCCAGGUUUUGAUGUAACACCCAAGCUGACACCAUCGAUUGCAGGCUCCGUGGACGGUUGGUCAUGGGCUACGUUCACGAGAGAGGCACAGCACAAACAACAGGGAAGUGGUGCCCGGUGGAGUAGCGAUCAAUUGAUCGCCUGUAAGGCUGCAAACGAGGAAUGCCGACUCACGUCCUACCCCACGCGUACGUUAGUGAAACAGAAGGUCGCAUUCACAUCGUGUUCAGCGCACCGUGCAAUUUUCUCGAAAAGGAAAUGUGAGGGCGAGAUGAUUAAAACAUGAGAAUGGGUUGCAAGACUGGAGUGACUCAAAUUAAUAUAUUGAAAAGUGUUGACAAAACCUUGAUAUUGUCCAUCAGCAGUGUAGACAACAUUUAAAUAUCCUUUGUAUAUAUAUAAACUUGCUCUACUAUCUUGUGUGAGCUGCAGGACUAUACUGUAUAUCUGAAUAAAAAAAAAUCUAUGUCAAUGCGCUAAAGUAAGCAAUAUUAAAUUCAUUAUAUGUGUGAACAGUCUGAUACAGAGUAGGGACCUGAAUAUUUCAUGAAGAUAUAAGAAAAAUUAGAUGUCUUUUCAACAUCAUGCAUUUGUGAGAAAAACAUCUUCAAGUAAAUUGACAGGCCUGCAAAUUCAGUGAUAACCCCCAUAAUAGGUAUAUUCAUGAAUCUGUAUUAGAAAUCGGACACCAGACAUUUGCUAGAUAAUCUUAAAAACACAUUGCAAAGUAAUAGAGAAUGAAAGUGACGAUAGGGGAGAGGUAAAGUGCAAAUGUGAAAAACCAGUAAUGAUGGGAUUUUUUUACGUAAAUUGAAUUUGCCUCACAGUAGCAAUGGGAGGAGUUUUGACCAGGAAUUAGUGCUGGAUAAGUGUGACUUUUCUAGGCCUUGAGUUGCCAACAGACCAGAAUAAUUACCGAUUUAAUUGAAAUUACACAAAUUUCAGAUUUGAAAUUUACUUUUAAUUGGAGUAAGUACCAUUACCUGAAUAAAAGUUAUUUAGACAUUUGAUCGAAUGGCUACAAAUGCAUAUAAAAGCCCUUCAAACAAAAGUCGCCUGACUUGCAAAGUGCAUCACACGCUCUGGUACCAACCCCUAGCGACCCUCCCAGCAAACCCUCAAAGCGACCUGCCUUCCUCUCCCCAUGUCUCGACAGUAACAGUCGAUCAAACGCAGCCAACUGGCCUGUAGAUGACCCUAGGGCCUUCUCCACAGUAACGCUUUUAACCGACAAAACGAGUCUGCUUUAGAAAGCUACCAUAUUCCUGGUUCUCCAGACAAGUGGUAGGUGCAUCUCCCCUUCACAAUCUCUCCACUCCCAGGCCAAUGCAGCAAGUGACACACUGGCCACCCUUCCAAAUGAGAUAUUCCAUUCUCAAGGGAUUUUCCAAGUGAUAUAUUUUAAAAGAGGAAAAAAAAGCAGCUAUCUAAACUCACAGCCUACAAAGCUCAGCCGAGGUGAAGGGAAAAUGACUGUCAUUGGCAAGAGAGAGGAUAUUUCAAGGUGCCCACACGGAUAACCGCCAAAGAUUAACCGCAGAGCAUAUCCAUUGAACAUAUGCCUUUUCAUUCCGACCAACCACAAGUAAACGCCAAAGCACCCUGCCAUCAGGAUUUGGGGAUCUUGUGCACUUUGCCCCAGACCCUUCGUAGGCUGCACAAUCCUCCAGCAUGGAGCUUCCGCAAGAAGGUUUCCCCACGGCCAAGAAUGAGAAGAGUUCAUUAGAGAUGCCGUGUGCAGCAUUUUCACAGGGACUAGUUACUCGCUCAACCACAGCCUCAAUUUACAGACACGGGAACCGAUGGAAAAUGGUGCUUCUCACCCAAGUUUCAGUGUGCAAAGCUACACCCAGUCGUGCGCUUCUGCAGUCUGGAAUUCUGUAAAGGUCAUUUUAUUAUUGGAGCCAGUACAAGCCCUCUGUUGCAGUAUGACAUUGGUGCCUAAGGCACCCCUCUGCCAUCUGUUUCUCCAGUGCAGCUGUUGAUCUGUCUGGCAAUUUGUUCACCUGACUAGACAUUGUCCCAGCCAGCCACAAUAACCACCUUAUAACCCCAACCAGGGACCCUUCUGGAUCAGAAGGGACCUGAAGGUCAUGGGUAGCAGGGUUGCUUACUUGCUUGUGCAGGUUUAAUGGAAGCCAAUCCACUACCUAAUCAGUCAUACGUGAUGACUCUCAUCCAAUUACAAUUAUGGUCGGGAUGCAACUGUAAAAAAGAAACAUGUAAAUCACAGCACACAAAGCGAGGCCAUGACAGAGGAGUAAAUCCACUUUGUAAAAUGGUAAAUUGCUGAACUUAGAAUGAAAACAUGUAUUUUUUUGGCGAUACUGCCUUGGCAGUGGUGCACAAAGCACGAAUAAACAAGAAUCUCAACACAUUCGUCAUUAGCACUGCCAUCAUGGAAAAAAUAUAUUACAGACGAUGUGAUGGGUAAUGUCCCUUCUUCAUAGGCUCGUGAUGAAAGCCUGGCAAUUUAGAUUUUAAAAAAAUAGCAAUUCUUCCCACUUCUCAUUAAAACCCAUUGCUGGAUGGUGGAAAACCUUGCACACGCUUCUGCAUUUGCAAAUAUUCCAUGCCACACGAGAUAACACGCACAGGCGGUGCUCUGCAGUGACAGCCCGCACUCGGAAAUUAGCCACAACUGUUUUUCACGUACCAGGGCCAUAGGGCUGCAUGGACCACGUUCGGAGAACAUCGCCGAGCCUCGUGUCACCGUUCACGUCAGGCCGGCUCCGGCCAGCGCCAUGACCGGCCACGACGUCCGCCCUGUGCUCACCACCGCCGCCUCCACUGCCGCUGCCGCCACUACCGGCGCCAGCUGUCAGGAAUGAGUUGGGUUUCGGGCAGGGUGGCUGGCAAGAUCUCAUCCUGGGCGGCUCGGAUGAAGCGAGACAACCACCUGUGUUUAAUACGGAGAAGGGCGUGUUAAGGGUUGAAUGCAUUUUAAACGU